This 22-nucleotide microRNA is filed under the name Melibe leonina. RNAcentral's name for it is "mle-miR-277-5p". Its record names the gene mle-miR-277-5p. Lineage: Eukaryota; Metazoa; Mollusca; Gastropoda; Nudibranchia; Dendronotidae. The record is from miRBase by way of RNAcentral.
AGUGCCAGGAGUGCAUUCUACA